GGAGAGGUGACCGAGUGGCUUAAGGUAACGGUUUGCUAAACCGUCGUAGGGAUACAAUCCCUACCGGGGGUUCGAAUCCCCCCCUCUCCG
Molecule: transfer RNA, 90 nt
Filed under: Phycisphaerae bacterium
Lineage: Bacteria; Pseudomonadati; Planctomycetota; Phycisphaerae
Also listed under: 1 other name
Description: tRNA-Ser
Rfam family: tRNA
About the family: Transfer RNA (tRNA) molecules are approximately 80 nucleotides in length. Their secondary structure includes four short double-helical elements and three loops (D, anti-codon, and T loops). Further hydrogen bonds mediate the characteristic L-shaped molecular structure. tRNAs have two regions of fundamental functional importance: the anti-codon, which is responsible for specific mRNA codon recognition, and the 3' end, to which the tRNAs corresponding amino acid is attached (by aminoacyl-tRNA synthetases). tRNAs cope with the degeneracy of the genetic code in two manners: having more than one tRNA (with a specific anti-codon) for a particular amino acid; and 'wobble' base-pairing, i.e. permitting non-standard base-pairing at the 3rd anti-codon position.
Source: RNAcentral